RNAcentral lists this ribosomal RNA (449 nucleotides) under uncultured organism. RNAcentral's name for it is "partial 16S ribosomal RNA". It matches the Rfam family "Bacterial small subunit ribosomal RNA", at positions 334 to 799 of the family's 1533-position model. The record is from RNAcentral.
CACUCCUGCGGGAGGCAGCAGUGGGGAAUAUUGGACAAUGGGCGCAAGCCUGAUCCAGCCAUGCCGCGUGAGUGAUGAAGGCCCUAGGGUUGUAAAGCUCUUUCACCGGUGAAGAUAAUGACGGUAACCGGAGAAGAAGCCCCGGCUAACUUCGUGCCAGCAGCCGCGGUAAUACGAAGGGGGCUAGCGUUGUUCGGAUUUACUGGGCGUAAAGCGCACGUAGGCGGACUAUUAAGUCAGGGGUGAAAUCCCGGGGCUCAACCCCGGAACUGCCUUUGAUACUGGUAGUCUUGAGUUCGAGAGAGGUGAGUGGAAUUCCGAGUGUAGAGGUGAAAUUCGUAGAUAUUCGGAGGAACACCAGUGGCGAAGGCGGCUCACUGGCUCGAUACUGACGCUGAGGUGCGAAAGCGUGGGGAGCAAACAGGAUUAGAUACCCGUGUAGUCCCAUG